RNAcentral lists this ribosomal RNA (459 nucleotides) under uncultured Solibacillus sp. RNAcentral's name for it is "partial 16S ribosomal RNA". It matches the Rfam family "Bacterial small subunit ribosomal RNA", at positions 341 to 792 of the family's 1533-position model. Lineage: Bacteria; Bacillati; Bacillota; Bacilli; Caryophanales; Caryophanaceae. The record is from RNAcentral.
ACGGGAGGCAGCAGCUAAGAAUAUUCCGCAAUGGACGAAAGUCUGAUGGAGCAACGCCGCGUGAGUGAUGAAGGAUUUCGGUUCGUAAAACUCUGUUGUAAGGGAAGAACAAGUAGCGUAGUAACUGGCGUUACCUUGACGGUACCUUAUUAGAAAGCCACGGCUAACUACGUGCCAGCAGCCGCGGUAAUACGUAGGUGGCAAGCGUUGUCCGGAAUUAUUGGGCGUAAAGCGCGCGCAGGUGGUUUCUUAAGUCUGAUGUGAAAGCCCCCGGCUCAACCGGGGAGGGUCAUUGGAAACUGGGAGACUUGAGUGCAGAAGAGGAUAGUGGAAUUCCAAGUGUAGCGGUGAAAUGCGUAGAGAUUUGGAGGAACACCAGUGGCGAAGGCGACUAUCUGGUCUGUAACUGACACUGAGGCGCGAAAGCGUGGGGAGCAAACAGGAUUAGAUACCCUGGUA